AGAGUUUGAUCAUGGCUCAGAACUAACGCUGGCGGCGUGCCUAAUACAUGCAAGUCGAGCGCGAAAGUCUUCGGAUGAGUAGAGCGGCGCACGGGUGAGUAACACGUGGGUAAUCUGCCCAGAGAUGGGGAAUAACUCCUCGAAAGAGGAGCUAAUACCGCAUAAGACCACAGCAUCUACGGAUGCAGUGAUUAAAGAUGACCUCUAUUUAUAAGUUAUCGUCUCUGGAUGAGCCUGCGCAUUAUUAGCUAGUUGGUGAGGUAAAAGCUCACCAAGGCUACGAUAAUUAGCUGGUCUGAGAGGAUGAUCAGCCACACUGGAACUGAGACACGGUCCAGACUCCUACGGGAGGCAGCAGUAGGGAAUAUUGCUCAAUGGGGGAAACCCUGAAGCAGCAACGCCGCGUGAGUGAUGAAGGCUUUCGGGUUGUAAAGCUCUGUUGUACAGGGAAAAUGUCGCUAUGGCUAACAUCCAUAGCGAGUGAUUGUACUGUAUAAGAAAGGACCGGCUAACUUCGUGCCAGCAGCCGCGGUAAGACGGGGGGUCCUAGCGUUGUUCGGAAUUAUUGGGCGUAAAGCGUGUGCAGGUUGUUUGAAAAGUUGGAUGUGAAAUCCUUGGGCUUAACCCAAGACGUGCAUUCAAAACUGUCAGACUUGAGUAUGGAAGAGGAUCGUGGAAUUCCUAGUGUAGUGGUGAAAUACGUAGAUAUUAGGAGGAACACCGGUGGCGAAGGCGGCGAUCUGGUCCAAUACUGACACUCAUACACGAAAGCGUGGGGAUCAAACAGGAUUAGAUACCCUAGUAGUCC
RNAcentral lists this ribosomal RNA (808 nucleotides) under uncultured bacterium. RNAcentral describes it as "bacterial SSU rRNA". It matches the Rfam family "Bacterial small subunit ribosomal RNA", at positions 8 to 796 of the family's 1533-position model. The record is from RNAcentral.